This 1064-nucleotide long non-coding RNA is filed under the name Zalophus californianus (California sea lion). Its description in RNAcentral is "lncRNA (ENSZCAG00015006050.1)". The record is from RNAcentral. Lineage: Eukaryota; Metazoa; Chordata; Mammalia; Carnivora; Otariidae.
AGGAGCUCAGCCACCAGUCGAUGGGGCCCCUCAGCUCCUGUUCCCACUGCUGCAAGUAGUCGUCUAACUCAGUUCCUCGUCCCCUCCAGGGAGUGCCGUGGCAGGUGGUUGGAAGGAAGCCUGAGCACCAUGCCCCUCGGUGCAGCCCCCGGGAGUGCGGUGGGAACUGGCUGGCUGGCCACCUUCAGCUGCUAGCCGGCUCAGCCUGGAAAUUGGAGCGUCCGGCUGUGAAUACACAUGUGAAGAAGUGCUUUGGACUCCAAGACAAAGGUCUCUCUUCAGAUGUCCCCGUCUGCGUGUGUCCUGUGAGUCCUGCCAGGACGCCUCCCGACGCCGGAGUUAAUCAUGUUCUCACUGCCUCUGUGCGUCUUGUGUCUGCCCCUGCUUCAGCACACACCACACGGUCUUGGGGGACUCGGUUUCCCUGUUGGCCUUCCUGAGAGAACUGUGAAUUCUGUGGGCAGGGUCACUCUCUUGCUCACCACUCUCCCUCUGAGCCAAGAAGCCGUCUGGUGGUGUCUUCGUGAACGCAGGAGGAGAUGAGCUCAGCGUCAUCCUGCGCAGCUCUGGUUAAAGGACUGGUGUCCAGGAAAAAUCCAACUCCAGGGAGACAGGAACCGGGUUGCUCCCAGCAGAGCGAAGAAGCUCAGCACGACAGGGGACAUUCACAGCCAAAGGCAAGCACAUGGCAGAAGGCACAGCCUCUCCUUGGGGUUUCAGGGGAGCCCUGGGCCUGGGAGACUGUUGCCGUUCUGCCUGGUUGGGAAAGACAAGGACUUGGGAGUACAACCACCCCCUUGAUGCUGGAUUUCCUUCACUCGAGUGAAUGCUCAUUGGCUGGAAACUCUAGACAACUGGCACAGACAGGCCCCCAUCCCAUAGGACUGAAACGAAGAAGGUUUUCUCUUCUGUCUUGGGAUUUGUCUGUUUCCCCAAGAGGCCAUGGAGUCUCUCCUAGGUCCUCUGCUGACACAGCAGUGUGGGUCCGGAGACUGAGCAUGGCAUCUGCAAGCCCAGGGUUCCCCGGGGCCCCCGCUCCAGACUCUGAGCAUGCCAAUGGCUGA